GUACGCUGGCGGCACGCCUAACACAUGCAAGUCGAACGAAGUAGCAAUACUUAGUGGCAGACGGGUGAGUAACAUGUGGGUAUCUUCCCUUUGGCCUGGAAUAACACGAGGAAACUUGUGCUAAUACCAGAUAAGUCUUCACGGAGAAAGCUUUAUGCACCAUUGGAUGAGCCUGCACUUGAUUAGUUUGUUGGUGGGGUAAUGGCCUACCAAGACUUUGAUCAAUAGCUGAUUUGAGAGGAUGAUCAGCCACAUUGGGACUGAGACACGGCCCAAACUCCUACGGGAGGCAGCAGUGGGGAAUCUUGCACAAUGGAGGAAACUCUGAUGCAGCGAUGCCGCGUGAGUGAAGAAGGCCCUUGGGUUGUAAAGCUCUUUCGUCGGGGAAGAAAAUGACUGUACCCGAAUAAGAAGGUCCGGCUA
Molecule: ribosomal RNA, 423 nt
Filed under: uncultured bacterium
Lineage: Bacteria
Description: bacterial SSU rRNA
Rfam family: Bacterial small subunit ribosomal RNA
Source: RNAcentral